GACGAACGCUGGCGGCGUGCCUAAUACAUGCAAGUAGAACGCUGAAGGAGGAGCUUGCUUCUCUGGAUGAGUUGCGAACGGGUGAGUAACGCGUAGGUAACCUGCCUGGUAGCGGGGGAUAACUAUUGGAAACGAUAGCUAAUACCGCAUAAGAGUAGAUGUUGCAUGACAUUUGCUUAAAAGGUGCAAUUGCAUCACUACCAGAUGGACCUGCGUUGUAUUAGCUAGUUGGUGGGGUAACGGCUUACCAAGGCGACGAUACAUAGCCGACCUGAGAGGGUGAUCGGCCACACUGGGACUGAGACACGGCCCAGACUCCUACGGGAGGCAGCAGUAGGGAAUCUUCGGCAAUGGACGGAAGUCUGACCGAGCAACGCCGCGUGAGUGAAGGAGGUUUUCGGAUCGUAAAGCUCUGUUGUAAGAGAAGAACGAGUGUGAGAGUGGAAAGUUCACACUGUGACGGUAGCUUACCAGAAAGGGACGGCUAACUACGUG
This 495-nucleotide ribosomal RNA is filed under the name uncultured bacterium. RNAcentral's name for it is "partial 16S ribosomal RNA". It matches the Rfam family "Bacterial small subunit ribosomal RNA", at positions 28 to 507 of the family's 1533-position model. The record is from RNAcentral.